Molecule: transfer RNA, 72 nt
Filed under: Uma notata notata
Lineage: Eukaryota; Metazoa; Chordata; Lepidosauria; Squamata; Phrynosomatidae
Description: tRNA-Ile
Rfam family: tRNA
About the family: Transfer RNA (tRNA) molecules are approximately 80 nucleotides in length.
Source: RNAcentral
GGAAAUGUGCCCGAAUUUUUAAGGGUUACUUUGAUAGAGUAAACAAUAGAGGUUAAAAUCCACUCAUUUCCC